Molecule: ribosomal RNA, 57 nt
Filed under: Podospora anserina S mat+
Lineage: Eukaryota; Fungi; Ascomycota; Sordariomycetes; Sordariales; Podosporaceae
Source: RNAcentral
GCCCAGACCGUCACAUACGACCAUAGACAACUGAAAAUACGGGAUCCCAUCCGCUCU